CCAGCAGCAGUUCUCCUGGUUGCUGUGUUGUUACUUCACUCUCCUCAGUGAGUUCCUUCUGCUCCCAUAGUUCUCCUCCUGUGGCACUCACUGCUCUCCUGUUCCCCCUUGGCUAAGGACUGCAGGCUCACAGUCUCCGCCACGCAUCCGCUGUGCAGUUUUUCCAGAGCAGGUCUAUGGCCAAGCUGCUCCUUUUGGGCUGAUUGUGUGCUUUUCUAUGCAGACAGGCAGGCAGGAUUUCUUGCAGCUGUCGUACGUGCUGGGUCUCAUGCUCCGUCCUGCACCUGUGCCUUAUCUCGUGUGCACUCUCCACCUCCCCCUGGUCAGUACAUCCUGGCCCUGCUGUGCUCUGCUCAGCAUCUGUCUGCUGAGCAACGACACAGCUGUCACACUGACCCUACCUUGUGCUAUCCCUGCAGAUGUUUGAUGAUUUCCUCUGCCACUGUCCCAGCCAUAACAGGUCGGGUGAUUUCCAGCAGCACACAGCUGGCACACCGAGCCACUCUGACCACGUACGGCAGCAGCCCGCCCCAUGGCUUCCUUGGGGCAGCCGUGGGGCUGUACCACCCUGAGGAGGCGAUGACUUUUCCCCACACACAGCUGGUUCUCUGGCCACACGGGGUGAGGAUGUGGGGUUGGGGGUCACAUGGCUGUCCUGCAGAGUCAGAGUGUUAUGGGGUUUUGUGGGGUUCUGGGUUAGAUGGGGUUCUGGGUUGCUGUGAUGAGGUCAGAUGAGAUGGUAGGGUCAGAUGGGGUGACAUGGAGUUCUGUGGUCACAUGUGUUUCUAUGGUCGAGUUGAGGUGGGGGCAGGGAUCCCAGAGUUCUGGGGCCACAUGGCAUCGGGUCGCAGCGUGAUGGGGGCAGGAAGGGUCAGGGAGUCACAGGGUCUUGUGGGGGUGUGGUUCACCCAGGGCUGUGGGUCACGUACAGCCAUGGGGUGAUGCACAUACAGGGUGA
Molecule: long non-coding RNA, 958 nt
Filed under: Gallus gallus (chicken)
Lineage: Eukaryota; Metazoa; Chordata; Aves; Galliformes; Phasianidae
Description: lncRNA (ENSGALG00010000541.1)
Source: RNAcentral